GCUCCUAUAGCUCAGGGGUUAGAGCACAGUCCUUAUAAGACUGGGGUCGAUGGUUCAAUUCCAUCUAGGAGCA
RNAcentral lists this transfer RNA (73 nucleotides) under bacterium. RNAcentral describes it as "tRNA-Ile". It matches the Rfam family "tRNA". From Rfam's summary of the family: Transfer RNA (tRNA) molecules are approximately 80 nucleotides in length. Their secondary structure includes four short double-helical elements and three loops (D, anti-codon, and T loops). Further hydrogen bonds mediate the characteristic L-shaped molecular structure. tRNAs have two regions of fundamental functional importance: the anti-codon, which is responsible for specific mRNA codon recognition, and the 3' end, to which the tRNAs corresponding amino acid is attached (by aminoacyl-tRNA synthetases). tRNAs cope with the degeneracy of the genetic code in two manners: having more than one tRNA (with a specific anti-codon) for a particular amino acid; and 'wobble' base-pairing, i.e. permitting non-standard base-pairing at the 3rd anti-codon position. The record is from RNAcentral.